UGACCGCGACGAGGGCGGCGCGCUGCUAUU
Molecule: small RNA, 30 nt
Filed under: Bombyx mori (domestic silkworm)
Lineage: Eukaryota; Metazoa; Arthropoda; Insecta; Lepidoptera; Bombycidae
Description: ovarian small RNA-31606
Source: RNAcentral